AUUGAACGCUGGCGGCAGGCCUAACACAUGCAAGUCGAGCGGAUGAAGGGAGCUUGCUCCUGGAUUCAGCGGCGGACGGGUGAGUAAUGCCUAGGAAUCUGCCUGGUAGUGGGGGAAACGUCCGGAAACGGGCGCUAAUACCGCAUACGUCCUGAGGGAGAAAGUGGGGGAUCUUCGGACCUCACGCUAUCAGAUGAGCCUAGGUCGGAUUAGCUAGUUGGUGGGGUAAAGGCCUACCAAGGCGACGAUCCGUAACUGGUCUGAGAGGAUGAUCAGUCACACUGGAACUGAGACACGGUCCAGACUCCUACGGGAGGCAGCAGUGGGGAAUAUUGGACAAUGGGCGAAAGCCUGAUCCAGCCAUGCCGCGUGUGUGAAGAAGGUCUUCGGAUUGUAAAGCACUUUAAGUUGGGAGGAAGGGCAGUAAGUUAAUACCUUGCUGUUUUGACGUUACCAACAGAAUAAGCACCGGCUAACUUCGUG
This 483-nucleotide ribosomal RNA is filed under the name uncultured bacterium. RNAcentral describes it as "partial 16S ribosomal RNA". It matches the Rfam family "Bacterial small subunit ribosomal RNA", at positions 30 to 507 of the family's 1533-position model. The record is from RNAcentral.